RNAcentral lists this transfer RNA (77 nucleotides) under Alphaproteobacteria bacterium. Its description in RNAcentral is "tRNA-Arg". It matches the Rfam family "tRNA". From Rfam's summary of the family: Transfer RNA (tRNA) molecules are approximately 80 nucleotides in length. The record is from RNAcentral. Lineage: Bacteria; Pseudomonadati; Pseudomonadota; Alphaproteobacteria.
GCACCCAUAGCUCAGCUGGAUAGAGCGCUGCCCUCCGAAGGCAGAGGCCAGAGGUUCGAAUCCUCUCGGGUGCGCCA